AUGCUUAUUAACAGAGACAAUGGUAAACCAAAAAGGAAGCUACUGAUAUUCCUUUAUUUUUCUUAAGUCUUUGUUUAGUAAAUUCUGUGCAAGAUCUUGCCUUUUAAUUAUUGAGGGCACAAUGGGAAUAAAUGUUAAAAGAAUAACUAAUAAUAUUUGCUUGGAAUUCCAGGGAGUAAAGUUUGUCAUCAGCUUGAAACAAUGGCCUUUUUGAUAUUCAAAAUUUUCCCUAACAUGAAGUGGUCGUCAGUCAAAUACAUUUGGCAAAGGCAGCUCUAUCCCAUGGAAGGUUCUGUCACAGUAAAGGUCUUUAAAGUUCCAGGGAGAUACCUGAACUUGAUGGAAGCAGAAGUACUUGCCUCAACCAGCCUCCACAAAAUGCUAAUAAAAGUUUUCCCUUGCUUUUUAAAAUAUCAGGAGUGUGUUUAAACCCCUGUAUAAGAAAUCAAUACCUUUGCAUUUAGGAUGUGAAGAUCCUGCAAGUGAUCGAUACAUUACCCUGGCUGAAAUGGCCUCAAACUCCAACAUGGGAACAGUAAAUUAAGUUAAGAUAUUCUCAACUAUUUCACAACCUCUCCAUGAGCUACCUGAAGAUGACUGGCAGAUUAUCAGUAGUCUACAAAAAUAGUUUAAGAACCUCUAACUAAUUGCAAAGCCUAUCAUAUUCAGCAAGACAGAAUCCAUACCAUAGCCUGCACCAAAGGCCGUAUGUGUGUGUGUGUGUGUGUCUGUGUCUGUGUGUUAAAAUGUAAAGGAAUAAGAGGUGUUCUUGAUAGCUCAUUAAAAGCUACACCAUCUCCAGUCCAGGAUGAUCUGUG
Molecule: long non-coding RNA, 818 nt
Filed under: Pogona vitticeps (central bearded dragon)
Lineage: Eukaryota; Metazoa; Chordata; Lepidosauria; Squamata; Agamidae
Description: lncRNA (ENSPVIG00000012508.1)
Source: RNAcentral